ACACGUGGGGGUUCUUGAUUGGAUGCUAAAAUUGAAUUUAAAAUAAGAAACACGGGCCACACUCAAACUCAGCUCAGGUCAACAUUUCAAACGCCACCACCGUGGACCACCGUGUCGGAAAUCGCUUCUGGCGGCAGUGGCCACCAGAAACAAGAAUUUCACACACCAGCGGCCACAUCUCAACCUCCUGAUCACGAAUCCACCCUUCAAUUCAUCUAAAUUCUAUCCUAGGUUCAUAACCAAAGUGAAAUAAUCAAGAGCCCUAAUAAUCAAUCCCUAAAUUAAAUCCUAAUCCUGCAGAUUCGAAAUACCCGGGGUUGGGGCUUUAAACCGCCUCCUUAAGCUCUACAUGUCAGCAACAAGAAGUUGAAGGAAUAAAAAGGUCGAUUCCUACCUGGCCGGAGAUGAAGAUGAGGAUGACGAUGAACAAUGGUGAAUUCCUAUUUCCAGGUUAUAUUGCUGCAAACUGGCUUGUGUUUAGACUGCCCUGAUGAAGGUUUGUCUUGCCUGAUCUCAUAUGGUAGAAUGGCUACACUGUAAGAUCCUUGUGGGGAUUGUAUGGUUUGAAUAUUGGUGUAGGAUCAUUGCACUAAUUUGGUGUUGAGUUUUAGCUUGGCCUGAUGUUAUGCCUUGCUUCAUGAUGUACUACAGCUCAUAGCCUAUUCAUGGCUGUUGGAUUUGGUUACAUGACUUGGAUACCCUGCUGGUAUACUCGUGUGGAUUGGUACUGACUACUGGUUGUACAAGUAUGAUGUAAGCUACCAUGUUGCAUUGUUUUGGAAUUGACAUGUUAGGCUUGUGGCAUUGAAUUGACUUGAUUGGAAGUUUGCUUGGUUUUCUUUGCUAGUUGUUUGGGACCCAAUGCUAUGUCUGGAUGAACUAUUAUAAUGCAUUAAUGAUGUCCAUAAGUUAAUGUGAAUUGUCUGGGUGAAUGGCCUGAAAUAACAGGGUUUGGCAUUGUGGUUCUUUGGCUUGCUCUUGACCGUUGUAACAGAUUUAUUGGCAUGGUAAUGAAGUGGUUUAAUGUGGCAUUGCAACAUGGUUCCACAAUGUUUGGCUUUGGCUAUACUGCAAGUGACGUGUUGUGUUUGUGAUGGUCUUGAUGUACAGUCUUGGUAAUGGCUCAUGUUUGGAUUGCGUUGCAGGUUCUGUUCAUGACUUAUUCUACUGUAGGUGUUGUUAUUGUAUGGAAAUGCAGUGAUGGGGUUUUGACUAUGAGUUUGGUUGUGGAUUGGUUCAGUUCUAGUUUAGGCCUUGUUAUGUUAUGAUUUCUAUUGGCUUGGUAAAUGUAUGUAUCAUUGGUUGUUGUAUUAUGACCGGGUUCUGCAGUAGGGUUAGGACCAUGUUUUUUGUUUUAUACUCCUUGCAAUUUUGACUUGCUUCAUGUGUUCAUGUUUGUGCGCAUGAGACCAAGGCCAUGUUCUGACUUUGGUUCAUGUUUUGACUGCAUACUGACUUAUGAAUGUGUGUUUCAAUGUAGGAAUUCUGACCUGGCUUGUGGUAUGCAUUGCAGGAUUAUCACCAUGUGCAGGAAACUUGUAGGUCUGCAUUGCAAUGUCUCGUUGGGCUAGUGUAUUGAUGAUGCUUCUUUGUUCAGGUCCUGCAAGGUUUGUGGACAUGAACAUGCAUUGGAAACUUGCAUUUGAAGCAAUCAUGAGAGCACACACGGACUUUGGUGAUGAAUCAAGACAAGAUAGAAUGGGAUUAGGUCUAGGUUUGGGAAAUUAGGGUUUUAGGAUUUUAGGGUUGACUUUGGUCAAACUUGACCAACAAGUCAACUGUUGACCAAAGUCAAUAUUUGGUCAAAGUUGUCAUUUCUUGUAAUUUUUAAAACUUGGGAUACUUUCAUGCUUGUAAUGAAUGGAAUUUACAUAUAAUUGGAUUAAAUGGAUUCUUGAA
This is a long non-coding RNA of Lathyrus oleraceus (garden pea), 1899 nucleotides long. RefSeq lists it as uncharacterized. The record is from RefSeq and is a predicted model, not a curated record. The transcript has 3 exons. Lineage: Eukaryota; Viridiplantae; Streptophyta; Magnoliopsida; Fabales; Fabaceae.